Myxocyprinus asiaticus (Chinese sucker) is the source of this 361-nucleotide long non-coding RNA. RefSeq lists it as uncharacterized. NCBI's taxonomy places the organism in Eukaryota, Metazoa, Chordata, Actinopteri, Cypriniformes, Catostomidae. The record is from RefSeq and is a predicted model, not a curated record. The transcript has 2 exons.
AAAUAUUAGCCAAAAUCAACCUUUGCCCUUGAAUUUCAGCUAAAACAAUAAUUACUCUUCCUAAUUUAUCUUUAAUCUGUUUGAGACAUUUGAAUUGGCAGUGGUAGCUCAGCGGUUAAGGCUCUGGGUUACUGAUCAGAAGGUUGGGGGUUCAAGCCCCAGCACCGCCAAGAUGCCACUGUUGGGCCCUUGAGCAAGGCCCUUAACCCUAUCUGCUCCAGGGGCGCUGUAUCGUGGCUGACCCUGCACUCUGACCCCAGCCUAGCUGGGAUAUGUGGAAAAAGAAGAAUUUCACCAUAUAUGUGCAAAUGUAUAAUGUGUGAUAAAUAAAGAAAAUUAUUAAUUAUAAUUAAUUAUAAAA